GAUGAACGCUGACAGAAUGCUUAACACAUGCAAGUCCACUUGAAUUUGGGUUUUUAACUUAGGUUUGGGUGGCGGACGGGUGAGUAACGCGUAAAGAACUUGCCUCACAGCUAGGGACAACAUUUGGAAACGAAUGCUAAUACCUAAUAUUAUGAUAAUAGGGCAUCCUAUAAUUAUGAAAGCUAUAAGCGCUGUGAGAGAGCUUUGCGUCCCAUUAGCUAGUUGGAGAGGUAACGGCUCACCAAGGCGAUGAUGGGUAGCCGGCCUGAGAGGGUGAUCGGCCACAAGGGGACGGAGACACGGCCCUUACUCCUACGGGAGGCAGCAGUGGGGAAUAUUGGACAAUGGACCGAGAGUCUGAUCCAGCAAUUCUGUGUGCACGAUGAAGUUUUUCGGAAUGUAAAGUGCUUUCAGUUGGGAAGAAACAAAUGACGGUACCAACAGAAGAAGUGAUGGCUAAAUACGUG
RNAcentral lists this ribosomal RNA (467 nucleotides) under uncultured bacterium. Its description in RNAcentral is "partial 16S ribosomal RNA". It matches the Rfam family "Bacterial small subunit ribosomal RNA", at positions 28 to 507 of the family's 1533-position model. The record is from RNAcentral.